UCCCCUGGGAGGGGGUGGGUACUAAGCAUGGGCUCAGCACCUCCCUCUGAAGACAGAGGGAGGCUCUCCUAACCUUGAGAUUCCCUUCCCUAAUUCAUGGGUUCUUGGAGCCUGGGCCAUUAACUCAGGGCCCCAAAGGCCUUUGAGAAGUUCUGGCCUGGAGGGUGGAGGGACAGUACCCUGGGGAGAGGAGCCUCCCAGCCUCACCUCUUCUUCAACAUCUUUUUGAAAUCCAUUUUUUCAUGACCUGAAGACAGAAAAGGGGACAGGGUCAGACAGAGGAGUCUGAUCCCUACAAAGAAAGACCAGGAAGAGGGAGCUGGCUCACCUUCUGUCACCAGCAAGGACACAGUGUAGAUGGCAUCUGCAUGGUCAUUGCUUGCAAUGCACUUGUAGUUGUCAGAGUCAUCGGAGGUCAGUGGCUCCAGCUGGAUCAGAGUCAAGCCAUUAGUGGGGGAGUGAGGAGGACCCCAGGGAGACUUUCUGUGAGGAGGGAAAGGAGGGCAUUUUGGGGGGGGAGGGGGAGUGGGGCUGAGUGUGGGUAUAUGUGUGGAGGACUGAGCAGCCUCUAUGAUGUGGAGGUUCCAGGGAGCCAUCAGUGUGAGUGUGUGUGUUUGUAGCCUGAUUCUUCACAGGAUUCUCCCUCUUGGCUGUGAGCUAGACGACAGGGAUGUCCUCUGAGUUGUAACUGUGUGCAGUUUCUGCCACUAGGCUGAGUGUUCCUUCCUUUAACACAUAUUUACUCCUUUGUACAGGUGCCGGACUGAGCCUGAGGAAACCGGUGAAUUAGGCUGAGGAAACCGGUGAAUGUUGGUAUCUGCAACAUGGCACUCACAGCCCAGUGGGGUCUCGGAAUGAAUGACUUUGUGGUCUGGAACCGGAAGUUGCAGAAGCUGGUUAGAUCUAAGGAUGAUCAGCUCUUGGCCAGAGUCUUCUAGAAGUGUCCCCUGAAGAGCCCAGGAACCCUGACCUUCACCCCUUCGCUAGGAUCAGUUCCUCCCUUGGUGCCUGGCCGCCCUGAUUUAACCUGGCUCCACCCACUAUGGCCACGCCCCCUUCUAGCCACGCCCAUAGCCUUGGCCUCCCUUCCCUUUUGGCUCUCUCACCUUCUGGAAGAGGUGGGUCUCCUGCCCCUCCUUGGCUUUGCCCUAGCUCUGCUUCGCCUCACCCCUAAUUUUGGUCUCCUGCCCACUCUAGCAACACCCCAACUCCUGAUUCGGCCUCUCUUAUCCUGCCCCUCCUCUAGGGCAACGACAGCUUCUUUCCCCAUGGCCCUUCUUGGUUCGUUCAGUUGUGGCUCUCUUGUCCGUGAUGGGGCCGGCGGCAUGCCCUGGGGUCCCUGCCUCUGACCUCGUCCGUAACUGGCUCUCUGGCUCGGGUCCCCGCACCUUCAGCACGUGCUCCUUGUUGAUGCUGUCGUAGAACAUCUUGGCCGACUCCUUGAUGGGGAUGCCGCUCUCCCUCUUCCAGGAGAUGUUGGGUUUGGGGUUCCCCUGCACCCGGGCUCGGAACACAGCUUUAUCCCCUGCAGUGGGCACGGGACACAAGUACACCUCUUAGCCUCCAGGUCGGACCUUCGGACCCUGCCUCCUCCCAGGGGUCUCAUGUCCACCCCGGCAGGGGAGCGCCCCUGGGCCUGGGGCCGCCAGUGUUUGCAUUACUGGGGGACAGUGGGGUCGUGGUGCUGAUUGGGGCACCGGGAGAAGGACAGAAAGCAGCCAGGGGUUUGGGGUCACACGGGGAGCAACACACCCUCGGGCGCGGUGACCGGGUGAGGCUUCUCCACGAACUCGGGGACGCUCUCGCCUGCAGGGAUGUCAGUACUCCGAGUCACCAAGCUGAAGAACUCUGCAGUGCUCGAGGACUUCCUUGUCACGACUUCCUCUGUGGCGACAGGCAAGAGGUCAGAAUGGGCCCGAGACUGGAGGAUUGGCCUUUUCUUGAGGCGACGGUGGAGCAUUUUAGGGCCGCGCGGGGACUUUGGCCAGAAAAGGAGGACCUUUGUGUCAGUCGGUCGUUGUGUUAUGGCACGUUUCAGCCACCAGGGGGAGCGACCUCCUCUUCCAGGCCUCUGGUCAAUCACGUUUAUCGGGCCACGUUACGGGGUCCCAAUUGUUUUCUUUUCUUUUUCUUUUUUUUUCCAACCUUUUUCUUUUUUGAAAAGGAGAUUUAUUUUGAUGGGGGUUUCUUGGCCUCUUGGGCUUCUCUCCUGGAAAUCCUAGUCCCCCAGCAGCCUUAAGAGGGGCCCGGUGGCUUAGUUGAAUUCUGCUGUCUGCCUUCCCCUAGCCCUUCUGUGGUUUAGCAUUCAUUGCUAUGGGAGGAGCAGUGAUUCUUGAGCGAGGGACAGGAAACAUUCCCAGCCCAGAGGGGCUACGGGUGGGAAUCUCCUUAUCUGAGAGAGCAUAUUCAAUGCAGUCAUGUAAUUUUAUGUUUGGAAAAUGAAAAGUUUUUUCAGCAUAAACUA
Felis catus (domestic cat) is the source of this 2464-nucleotide long non-coding RNA. RefSeq lists it as uncharacterized. The record is from RefSeq and is a predicted model, not a curated record. The transcript is spliced from 2 exons. Lineage: Eukaryota; Metazoa; Chordata; Mammalia; Carnivora; Felidae.